Bactrocera oleae (olive fruit fly) is the source of this 466-nucleotide long non-coding RNA. RefSeq lists it as uncharacterized. NCBI's taxonomy places the organism in Eukaryota, Metazoa, Arthropoda, Insecta, Diptera, Tephritidae. The record is from RefSeq and is a predicted model, not a curated record.
GAAAUAUUCUUAAAUUAACUUAAAAUCACAGUCGAAUACACUUAUUUAAAAACAAGUAAACUAUUUAUGCAUUUUCAAAAAUUAUAACUAAAAAACUAUAUAUGUGAAAAAUUGUAUACACAAAUUGAACAAUGGCAACAGUGGUCAAAUGAAAACAAAAGACAAUAACCGAUUUCUACGUUGCGACUACGGUAGUACGGACGGGCGGAGAUGGCGAUGAACGGGACGAAGUCCUAUUAAAGCCAGAGAACGUAUAUCAUAGAGAAGGUUCAUGAUGUGCCGAUUGUCAACAUGUUCCUCUUCACGGAGGGUUACUCGCCAACAUUAGAGGAGUUUACCACUUGAAAAUUAAAAGAACGCAUAUUAUUCUCUGCUAAAACGCGACUAAUUGUAAUGUAUCUGUUGAUUUUAUAUUGUACCUUAGGCACUAAAAUUUGAUAAAUAAAAUAUACAUAAAAAAACCAGA